UAGGGAAUCUUCGGCAAUGGGGGGAACCCUGACCGAGCAACGCCGCGUGAGUGAAGAAGGUUUUCGGAUCGUAAAGCUCUGUUGUUAAGGAAGAACGAGUGUGAGAAUGGAAAGUUCAUACUGUGACGGUACUUAACCAGAAAGGGACGGCUAACUACGUGCCAGCAGCCGCGGUAAUACGUGGGUCCCGAGCGUUGUCCGGAUUUAUUGGGCGUAAAGCGAGCGCAGGCGGUUAGAUAAGUCUGAAGUUAAAGGCAGUGGCUCAACCAUUGUAGGCUUUGGAAACUGUUUAACUUGAGUGCAGAAGGGGAGAGUGGAAUUCCAUGUGUAGCGGUGAAAUGCGUAGAUAUAUGGAGGAACACCGGUGGCGAAAGCGGCUCUCUGGUCUGUAACUGACGCUGAGGCUCGAAAGCGUGGGGAGCGAACAGG
RNAcentral lists this ribosomal RNA (429 nucleotides) under Bacteroidota bacterium. RNAcentral's name for it is "Bacteroidetes bacterium partial 16S ribosomal RNA". It matches the Rfam family "Bacterial small subunit ribosomal RNA", at positions 355 to 776 of the family's 1533-position model. The record is from RNAcentral. Lineage: Bacteria; Pseudomonadati; Bacteroidota.